Molecule: long non-coding RNA, 211 nt
Filed under: Capsella rubella
Lineage: Eukaryota; Viridiplantae; Streptophyta; Magnoliopsida; Brassicales; Brassicaceae
Description: long non-coding RNA (CRUB_LNC002262)
Source: RNAcentral
GAACGGGCCUUAGGCCAUUAAACAAAGACCGAAAUAAUAAAACAGUUCAAUGCGAAGGAGUAUUCGGUUCGAUGUUAAGAUGUUUUUGAGGGGAUUGCUUAUGUCACAUGUAAAGUACUGAGUGGUUAGAAAUAAUUGCAAGAGAAAACAUUUUUCAUUUUUCACCAUUCUCCCUCAAAACAUUUUUCAUUUUUCAUUUUUCCAUUUGGAC